AGUGAACGCUGGCGGUAGGCCUAACACAUGCAAGUCGAACGGCAGCACAGGAGAGCUUGCUCUCUGGGUGGCGAGUGGCGGACGGGUGAGGAAUACAUCGGAAUCUACCUUUUCGUGGGGGAUAACGUAGGGAAACUUACGCUAAUACCGCAUACGACCUACGGGUGAACGCAGGGGACCUUCUGGCCUUGCGCGAUUGAGUGAGCCAAUGUCGGAUUAGCUAGUUGGCGGGGUAAAGGCCCACCAAGGCGACGAGCCGUAGCUGGUCUGAGAGGAUGAACAGCCACACUGGAACUGAGACACGGUCCAGACUCCUACGGGAGGCAGCAGUGGGGAAUAUUGGACAAUGGGCGCAAGCCUGAUCCAGCCAUACCGCGUGGGUGAAGAAGGCCUUCGGGUUGUAAAGCCCUUUUGUUGGGAAAGAAUCCAGCUGGCUAAUACCCGGUUGGGAUGACGGUACCCAAAGAAUAAGCACCGGCUAACUUCGUGCCAGCAGCCGCAGUAA
RNAcentral lists this ribosomal RNA (505 nucleotides) under uncultured bacterium. Its description in RNAcentral is "partial 16S ribosomal RNA". It matches the Rfam family "Bacterial small subunit ribosomal RNA", at positions 29 to 523 of the family's 1533-position model. The record is from RNAcentral.